GAUGAAGAACGCAGCCAAAUGCGAUAAGUAGUGUGAAUUGCAGAAUUCAGUGAAUCAUCGAAUCUUUGAACGCACAUUGCGCCCCUUGGUAUUCCAUGGGGCAUGCCUGUUCGAGCGUCAUUUGUACCUUCAAGCUCUGCUUGGUGUUGGGUGUUUGUCUCGCCUCUGCGUGUAGACUCGCCUCAAAACAAUUGGCAGCCGGCGUAUUGAUUUCGGAGCGCAGUACAUCUCGCGCUUUGCACUCAUAACGACGACGUCCAAAAGUACAUUUUUACACUCUUGACCUCGGAUCAGGUAGGGAUACCCGCUGAACUUAAGCAUAUCAAUAAGCGGAGGA
RNAcentral lists this unclassified non-coding RNA (337 nucleotides) under soil metagenome. RNAcentral describes it as "partial contains 5.8S ribosomal RNA, internal transcribed spacer 2, and large subunit ribosomal RNA". The stretch from base 1 to 120 matches the Rfam family "5.8S ribosomal RNA", at positions 35 to 154 of the family's 154-position model. The record is from RNAcentral.